RNAcentral lists this long non-coding RNA (1200 nucleotides) under Olea europaea subsp. europaea. The record is from RNAcentral. Lineage: Eukaryota; Viridiplantae; Streptophyta; Magnoliopsida; Lamiales; Oleaceae.
CUAACUUCUAUGUUAAAAGUUACAAUGGUGACUUUUUGGCUGCAGGCUUAUACGUUGAUGAUAUGAUUUAUACUGGAAGUUCAUUCCAUAUGGUGGAAGCAUUUAAAAAGUCCAUGAUGCAAACUUUUGAUAUGUGUAACUUGGGUUCAUUAAAUUAUAUUUUAGGAAUCGAAGUAGUGUAAAAUUCACAUGGUAUUUUUAUUUGUCAGAAAAAAUAUGCAGCUGACUUAUUAAAAAAAGCUAGAAUGGGGAAUUGCAAGUGUGUUAAGACUCCACUGAAUGCAAAUAAGAAGCUGACUUUAAGUGACGCGGUUGAGAAGGUUGAUGAGAACAAUUUCAGAAGUGUUGUAGGAAACCUAAUGUAUCUCUAAUACAAUGCCUGAUAUUACAUAUGAUGUGAGUUAUUUCUAGAUUCAUCCAUAGUCCAAGGAAGGUUCAUUUGGGUGCAACUAAGAGAAGUCUUCGUUAUGUUCAGGGAACUUCAAAUUUUGGCGUCAGGUAUUUAAGAAGUAACUCAAAUUAACUCAUUGUUUUUACUAACAGUGAUUGGGCUUCUUGUCCAAAUGAUAUAAAGAGCACUACUGGUUAUAUGCUUAGCUUGGGAUAAGGUGCAAUUUCAUGGUCCUCAAAAAAGCAACAUAGCACUGGUCUUUCAAGCACAGAAGCAAAGUAUGCAGCUGCAACAACCACAGCUUGUCAAGUUGUUUGGCUAAGAAGAAUUUUGAAGGAUCUGAAGUAAGAUAAUGGUGGAGCAACGGUGAUUUUUUGAGACGAAGCAUCAUUUCAUUCGAGAGUUAGUGAAAAAAGAAAUUGUAGAGCUACAGUACAUCAGCACAGAAAAUCAACCAGUAGACAUUCUCACUAAAGCAUUACUCGAAGCCAAAUUUGCAAAAUUCAGAUCCAUGAUGGGAGUUGAACCCCUUGUUGAAGUAAUGGGAGGAAAUGUUGGGAAUUAAUUCAAAUUCGGGGUUUCGUAUUGACUUGAUAUUUAUUUCUUGUUUUGUUAAUAUUGUUUAAGAAAUAAGUUGGAUCUUUUUGUUCUAGAUUUGAGGUUGAUCUGGUCCAUACAGGUCAUGCCACUAAUUUUUGUUAUUAUGUAUCAAUGAGUCUGGUAGAAAUAUCAAGAGUAGUGGUCGCGUGUUUGUAACUACCAAGUGUUGAACGUCUAUUUAAUCACUUGGAGUCCUGAAAUAGAAAGAU